GCGGAUAUGGUGGAAUUGGUAGACACGUUGGUCUUAGAAUCCAAUGAUUUAUUUCGUGAGGGUUCAAAUCCCUCUAUCCGUA
Molecule: transfer RNA, 82 nt
Filed under: Rickettsiales bacterium
Lineage: Bacteria; Pseudomonadati; Pseudomonadota; Alphaproteobacteria; Rickettsiales
Description: tRNA-Leu
Rfam family: tRNA
About the family: Transfer RNA (tRNA) molecules are approximately 80 nucleotides in length.
Source: RNAcentral